GUCAUUUUUCAUGAUUAUUUCACGACGAAGAUCAUCACAUCAAUGAAUCAAAUAAUAAGGACAUGCCUUUGGUAUUAGCAGGGUGCAGCCUGCAGGCAACAUAUGCAACAAUGCUUUCAUCUGUGAAUACCCACUUGCUAAGCCCACCAUGAACUACGAAGGCCAAUUAAUAUGUAAGGACACCAAUGAAAAGACUUUUCCAAUCAUCGUACAUCAUAUACAUGGGUGGUCAAACUCAUUGUAUGGUUUAUCAGCAAUCCCAUUCUCACGAACAGUCUUGCCCCAGGAAUUUUGCCCUGAAGUAACAUUUGCAGUCAAUUGUCUCCUUUCUUUUUACAACCUUGGCAGCCAUGCAGGAUAGAAGCUGAUCACUUGUACUUGACAGCAAAUAAUAAUCUCUUGGACAAGUCAAAGAACUUCCUCCAGUCUUACAGAGAAAUGACAGUUGAUAAAAGAAUGGUGGACACAAAGUAAAAGUGCUCUUCAACAUUUUGUUGAAGAUUUCAGUCUGAUUUGGAAUUCAUCUUGCAAUAUUUCUGGAUUUCGUCAAUUUUCAACUUAUUGACUAAACAUUUUUGGGUCAAAUAUUGCCAAUGCUAUCUAUUAUUAUUAUUUCUCUCCAAGAUAAUGUCAAGUCUUUAUU
Long non-coding RNA from Saccostrea cuccullata (small rock oyster), 643 nucleotides. RefSeq lists it as uncharacterized. Lineage: Eukaryota; Metazoa; Mollusca; Bivalvia; Ostreida; Ostreidae. The transcript is spliced from 5 exons. The record is from RefSeq and is a predicted model, not a curated record.